Aspergillus fumigatus Af293 is the source of this 97-nucleotide transfer RNA. It matches the Rfam family "tRNA". From Rfam's summary of the family: Transfer RNA (tRNA) molecules are approximately 80 nucleotides in length. Their secondary structure includes four short double-helical elements and three loops (D, anti-codon, and T loops). NCBI's taxonomy places the organism in Eukaryota, Fungi, Ascomycota, Eurotiomycetes, Eurotiales, Aspergillaceae. The record is from Rfam.
GGCAAGGUGGCCGAGUGGUUAAGGCGUCAGUUUCGAAUUGAGCAAACUCAAUUAGCUGAUUCCCUAGGGAUCGCCGGUUCGAAUCCGGUCCUUGUCG